UCCGAGCGUCAUUUCAACCCUCAAGCACAGCUUGGUCUUGGGCCAUGCCGGGAACGGCCGGCCUUAAAACUAGUGGCGGUGCCGCCGGGCUCUACGCGUAGUAGUUAUUUCUCGCGUUUGGGUCUCGGCGGACGCUGGCCAGCAACCCCCAAUUUUCUAUGGUUGACCUCGGAUCAGGUAGGGAUACCCGCUGAACUUAA
Molecule: unclassified non-coding RNA, 200 nt
Filed under: soil metagenome
Description: partial contains internal transcribed spacer 2 and large subunit ribosomal RNA
Source: RNAcentral